GAUGAACGCUGGCGGCAGGCCUAAUACAUGCAAGUCGAACGAGUGGCGGACGGGUGAGUAAUGUCUGGGAAACUGCCUGAUGGAGGGGGAUAACUACUGGAAACGGUAGCUAAUACCGCAUACCAUCGGAUGUGCCCAGAUGGGAUUAGCUUGUGGGUGGGGUAACGGCUCACCUAGGCGACGAUCCCUAGCUGGUCUGAGAGGAUGACCAGCCACACUGGAACUGAGCAACGGGGCAGACUCCUACGGGAGGCAGCAGUGGGGAAUAUUGCACAAUGGGCUCAAGCCUGAUGCAGCCAGGCCGCGUGUAUGAAGAAGGCCGUCGGGUUGUAAAGUACUUUCAGCGGGGAGGCGUUACCCGCAGAAGAAGCACCGGCUAACUCCGUGCCAGCCGCCGCGGUAAUUC
This 406-nucleotide ribosomal RNA is filed under the name uncultured bacterium. RNAcentral's name for it is "partial 16S ribosomal RNA". It matches the Rfam family "Bacterial small subunit ribosomal RNA", at positions 28 to 526 of the family's 1533-position model. The record is from RNAcentral.